Molecule: ribosomal RNA, 496 nt
Filed under: uncultured bacterium
Lineage: Bacteria
Description: partial 16S ribosomal RNA
Rfam family: Bacterial small subunit ribosomal RNA
Source: RNAcentral
GAUGAACGCUGGCGGCGUGCCUAAUACAUGCAAGUCGAGCGAACAGAUAAGGAGCUUGCUCCUUUGACGUUAGCGGCGGACGGGUGAGUAACACGUGGGUAACCUACCUAUAAGACUGGGAUAACUUCGGGAAACCGGAGCUAAUACCGGAUAACAUUUGGAACCGCAUGGUUCUAAAGUGAAAGAUGGUUUUGCUAUCACUUAUAGAUGGACCCGCGCCGUAUUAGCUAGUUGGUAAGGUAACGGCUUACCAAGGCGACGAUACGUAGCCGACCUGAGAGGGGGAUGGGCCACAGGGGAACGGGCAAGCGGUCCAACCCCCUAGGGGAGGCAAAAGGGGGGAAUCUUCCGAAAGGGGGGAAAGCCGGACGGAGCAACGCGGGGGGGGGAAGAAAGGGUUGCGGCUCGAAAAACUUUUUUAUUGGGGAAAAAAAAACGGGAAAGUAACGGGGCAAGUUUGGAGGGGACCUAAACAAAAAGCCCCGGUUAACUACGG